UCUGUAGGAUCUGACGACUCCAUUUCUUUUGCACUCGCUUCUGAGAAUAGAUAGAAAAGAGAUGGACGGAGUCCGAGAAAAUAUAAGCCGAAAACCCCACCCCCAACUUAGCUGAACUUUUGGCAAAUCGCGAGCCGUACUAUCACACUUUGACUCCAGGUCCUGGACAGUGAAGACACCCAUUGGAAAAUAACACGAAAACAACAUCCCAAAAUCCAAAAAUGGCCACUCCAAGUGAAACUCAAAGCUUAUUCAUGACCUUCCUGAUUUUGGCAGUUUUGCUGUUCGCUCUGUGGUUGCUGUACGUGGGAUUCGUGUAAAUCAAAUGAUACCCGAUAAAAAACAACAGCUAUAAUAGGAUGAUCCACCUGUUCCAUGACCACGAGCUCUGCGGAAGAACAUGAAUCCUUCCAUUCAACAUCCUUAUCUAUUUAUUUUACUUUAUUUUGUAUAAAGACAUGUUUAUUAAUUUAUUAACGUGAUUUGCA
This is a long non-coding RNA of Nicrophorus vespilloides, 488 nucleotides long. RefSeq lists it as uncharacterized. The transcript is spliced from 3 exons. The record is from RefSeq and is a predicted model, not a curated record. Lineage: Eukaryota; Metazoa; Arthropoda; Insecta; Coleoptera; Silphidae.